Cyprinus carpio (common carp) is the source of this 743-nucleotide long non-coding RNA. RefSeq lists it as uncharacterized. The record is from RefSeq and is a predicted model, not a curated record. Lineage: Eukaryota; Metazoa; Chordata; Actinopteri; Cypriniformes; Cyprinidae.
CAUGUCUCUUUAGGGCACUUGGAGGAAACCACGCAAUUCAUAUGGAUUACUCUGGCGAUGUUUUUUUUUUUUUUUUCAACUUUUUGAAACGUGAACAUCUUUGGUGAAUCUUUUUUUCAUUGGAGGGACAUAAAUCUCUCAGAUUUUGUUAAAAUAUCUCAGCGAAGAUGAGCGAAAGUCUUAGAUGGUUUGGAGCAUCUUAAGGGUGAGUGAUGACAGAAUUCAAAUUGUUUUGGGGGAACUAUGAAAUUAAUUAGAAAAUAUAGUGGUAUGUUCUUAUUUUACCAGCUUCUGCAAGCGUGUAUGCCGUCUGCCUUUUGGAACCUCACUGUGACUUCAGACAAGAACAAAGAUAAAAUUGUAAGAAGGGUUGCUUAUAAGAGAGCAUACAGUACAUCUGAAACUGCUGAGGCGGAUCAGCUGCUAUAGAAGACAAACGGAAAUACUGCAAGGCUCUUGUGCAAAAUAUUGUAUGCCAGGAGUCAGGAUGACUAGGCUGUGCCCAGGACUCCGGAACCUGCAACGAUGCUUAGCUCCAUCGGCCCUCCGUCUGUGCCUUCGGAUCCACCAGCUCUGUCUCCAUCGGUCAGCCCCCAGAUGUCAGCAGUCACACCAUCUACAUCUUGGCUCCUCCCUCCCUCGAUUCUGCCAUGUUUUGUCAGCAAUGGGAUGCUCUGGGUCUGUGCCACAAAAGGCCUAUUUCUCUCUAAUACUGUUCACAAAUCUGUCUAAAUCUGUGUUAG